RNAcentral lists this ribosomal RNA (429 nucleotides) under uncultured bacterium. RNAcentral describes it as "bacterial SSU rRNA". It matches the Rfam family "Bacterial small subunit ribosomal RNA", at positions 29 to 506 of the family's 1533-position model. The record is from RNAcentral.
ACGAACGCUGGCGGCAGGCUUAACACAUGCAAGUCGAACGCUCCGCAAGGAGAGUGGCAGACGGGUGAGUAACGCGUGGGAAUCUACCCAUCUCUACGGAAUAACUCAGGGAAACUUGUGCUAAUACCGUAUACGCCCUUCGGGGGAAAGAUUUAUCGGAGAUGGAUGAGCCCGCGUUGGAUUAGCUAGUUGGUGGGGUAAAGGCCUACCAAGGCGACGAUCCAUAGCUGGUCUGAGAGGAUGAUCAGCCACAUUGGGACUGAGACACGGCCCAAACUCCUACGGGAGGCAGCAGUGGGGAAUAUUGGACAAUGGGCGCAAGCCUGAUCCAGCCAUGCCGCGUGAGUGAUGAAGGCCCUAGGGUUGUAAAGCUCUUUCACCGGUGAAGAUAAUGACGGUACCCGGAGAAGAAGCCCCGGCUAACUUCGU